AAGCUAUCUUCGGAUGGUGGAGACCGGCAGACGGGUGAGUAACACGUGGGAACAUACCGAGUAGUGGGGGAUAACAGUUGGAAACGACUGCUAAUACCGCAUACGCCCUUCGGGGGAAAGAUUUAUCGCUAUUCGAUUGGCCCGCGUUAGAUUAGCUAGUUGGUAAGGUAACGGCUUACCAAGGCGACGAUCUAUAGCUGGUUUGAGAGGAUGAUCAGCCACACUGGGACUGAGACACGGCCCAGACUCCUACGGGAGGCAGCAGUGGGGAAUAUUGCGCAAUGGAGGAAACUCUGACGCAGCCAUGCCGCGUGAGUGAAGAAGGCCUUAGGGUUGUAAAGCUCUUUCAACGGUGAAGAUAAUGACGGUAACCGUAGAAGAAGCCCCGGCUAACUUCGUGCCAGCAGCCGCGGUAAUACGAAGGGGGCUAGCGUUGUUCGGAAUUACUGGGCGUAAAGCGUACGUAGGCGGAUUAGAAAGUUAGGGGUGAAAUCCCAGGGCUCAACCCUGGAACUGCCUCUAAAACUCCUAAUCUUGAGUUCGAGAGAGGUGAGUGGAAUUCCGAGUGUAGAGGUGAAAUUCGUAGAUAUUCGGAGGAACACCAGUG
This 607-nucleotide ribosomal RNA is filed under the name uncultured bacterium. RNAcentral describes it as "bacterial SSU rRNA". It matches the Rfam family "Bacterial small subunit ribosomal RNA", at positions 71 to 714 of the family's 1533-position model. The record is from RNAcentral.